Molecule: ribosomal RNA, 253 nt
Filed under: uncultured bacterium
Lineage: Bacteria
Description: partial 16S ribosomal RNA
Rfam family: Bacterial small subunit ribosomal RNA
Source: RNAcentral
UACAGAGGUGGCAAGCGUUGUUCGGAAUUACUGGGCGUAAAGAGCGCGCAGGCGGUCGUGCAAGUCGGGUGUGAAAGCCCCCGGCUCAACUGGGGAGGGUCAUUCGAUACUGAUCGACUCGAAGGCAGGAGAGGGAAGUGGAAUUCCCGGUGUAGUGGUGAAAUGCGUAGAUAUCGGGAGGAACACCAGUGGCGAAGGCGACUUCCUGGCCUGUUCUUGACGCUGAGGCGCGAAAGCUAGGGGAGCAAACGGG